RNAcentral lists this ribosomal RNA (476 nucleotides) under Staphylococcus aureus. RNAcentral's name for it is "partial 23S ribosomal RNA". It matches the Rfam family "Bacterial large subunit ribosomal RNA", at positions 2447 to 2925 of the family's 2925-position model. The record is from RNAcentral. Lineage: Bacteria; Bacillati; Bacillota; Bacilli; Caryophanales; Staphylococcaceae.
GCUCAACGGAUAAAAGCUACCCCGGGGAUAACAGGCUUAUCUCCCCCAAGAGUUCACAUCGACGGGGAGGUUUGGCACCUCGAUGUCGGCUCAUCGCAUCCUGGGGCUGUAGUCGGUCCCAAGGGUUGGGCUGUUCGCCCAUUAAAGCGGUACGCGAGCUGGGUUCAGAACGUCGUGAGACAGUUCGGUCCCUAUCCGUCGUGGGCGUAGGAAAUUUGAGAGGAGCUGUCCUUAGUACGAGAGGACCGGGAUGGACAUACCUCUGGUGUACCAGUUGUCGUGCCAACGGCAUAGCUGGGUAGCUAUGUGUGGACGGGAUAAGUGCUGAAAGCAUCUAAGCAUGAAGCCCCCCUCAAGAUGAGAUUUCCCAACUUCGGUUAUAAGAUCCCUCAAAGAUGAUGAGGUUAAUAGGUUCGAGGUGGAAGCAUGGUGACAUGUGGAGCUGACGAAUACUAAUCGAUCGAAGACUUAAUCAA